CAACCCUCGAGCCCCCCCGGGGGCCCGGUGUUGGGGGACGGCCCCGCCCCUCGCGGGCGCCGCCCCCGAAAUCCAGUGGCGGUCCCGCCGCGUCCUCCCAUGCGCAGUAGCUCUUGCUCGCAGAGGGAGCGCGGCGAGGCCACGCCGUAAAACCCCAUACUUCUGAAAAGG
Molecule: unclassified non-coding RNA, 171 nt
Filed under: uncultured Hypocreales
Lineage: Eukaryota; Fungi; Ascomycota; Sordariomycetes; Hypocreales
Description: sequence contains ITS2
Source: RNAcentral